CCUGCGAUACCUCAGUUGGUAGAGCGGUGGAUUGUAGAUCCAUAGGUCGCUGGUUCAAAUCCGGCUCGAAGGA
Molecule: transfer RNA, 73 nt
Filed under: Acanthoscelides obtectus
Lineage: Eukaryota; Metazoa; Arthropoda; Insecta; Coleoptera; Chrysomelidae
Description: hypothetical protein
Rfam family: tRNA
About the family: Transfer RNA (tRNA) molecules are approximately 80 nucleotides in length. Their secondary structure includes four short double-helical elements and three loops (D, anti-codon, and T loops). Further hydrogen bonds mediate the characteristic L-shaped molecular structure. tRNAs have two regions of fundamental functional importance: the anti-codon, which is responsible for specific mRNA codon recognition, and the 3' end, to which the tRNAs corresponding amino acid is attached (by aminoacyl-tRNA synthetases). tRNAs cope with the degeneracy of the genetic code in two manners: having more than one tRNA (with a specific anti-codon) for a particular amino acid; and 'wobble' base-pairing, i.e. permitting non-standard base-pairing at the 3rd anti-codon position.
Source: RNAcentral